UCCUGUUUGAGAGUCUUCUCAGAUCAGUCCACUGCCCUCGUCGGUGUCACUGCUAUCAUCUGGUUUGAAUUUAUGCUGCUGCUUUUUUUCUUCAAGCUUGUGCUGCAAAGCAAGAGAUCCUUUUAUAUGUGUUGCACUAAUAAUUUAGCAUGGUUGCUUGACAUGAUGUUUCACACAUCUGUUUAUUCACAUGAUUUUAUUCAAGUAUAAGCAAUUUGAUACUUC
Molecule: small RNA, 225 nt
Filed under: Oryza sativa Japonica Group (Japanese rice)
Lineage: Eukaryota; Viridiplantae; Streptophyta; Magnoliopsida; Poales; Poaceae
Description: sRNA Os06g0591050
Source: RNAcentral